Molecule: small RNA, 715 nt
Filed under: Saccoglossus kowalevskii
Lineage: Eukaryota; Metazoa; Hemichordata; Enteropneusta; Harrimaniidae
Description: aristaless homeodomain transcription factor
Source: RNAcentral
ACCUCUAUAGCGCCACCAACGUCGACAACAUCGAUAACCCGACCGACAAGUUCGCUGAUCAAUGGGAACGAGUUGUGCAAUGACACGGAAAGGCGGAGCAACAGUAUAGCAGCUUUGAGACUACGAGCAAAAGAACACUGUGCAGCACUCGAACAUCACACGGCAACAGCUUCAAAUAUUAUAGGUGCUUACGGAAAAUAGCCAAUACAUACGAGAUUCGAACUCUGUGAUUGUCCCGGUGCUGUAACUGAUCUUUUGAACUAUUGUCCUUCACUUCAAGAUGUUGAAGGAGGCAGAUUGAAACAAUGUCUAAUAUUGAGUAGACUCGAGUUCUAAAUGACCAGAAUAAAUUAAUUGGACCAAAGUAAUACCCCCACACCAGGAACAGUUGAGACCAGAGUACCAUCGACACAACGGGUGGUAUUGCAGCCAUUUUUUUUAAUAAGCUAGAUGUAUAUAAUUGAAUUCAAUAUAAUUAUUAUUCUUUCUAAAAUAUUUAAAGCUUGCCGUUCGUAUGUAGCAAUACAUCCCUGACACGAUAAACGGAAUCAUGUAGCAAUACAAUCCCCGACACUGUAGAUGGAGUCAUGUAGCAAUACAUCCCCGACAAGAUAAACGGAAUCAUGUAGCAAUACAACCCCGACACGAUAGACGGAAUCAUGUAGCAAUACAACCCCGACACGUAGAACAGGAAUCAUGUAGCAAUACAUCCCUG